UACGAAGGGGGCUAGCGUUGUUCGGAUUUACUGGGCGUAAAGCGCACGUAGGCGGUUUGUUAAGUCAGGGGUGAAAUCCCAGAGCUCAACUCUGGAACUGCCUUUGAUACUGGCAAGCUCGAGUCCGGAAGAGGUAAGUGGAACUCCUAGUGUAGAGGUGGAAUUCGUAGAUAUUAGGAAGAACACCAGUGGCGAAGGCGGCUUACUGGUCCGGAACUGACGCUGAGGUGACGAAGCGUGGGGAGCAAACAGG
This 253-nucleotide ribosomal RNA is filed under the name uncultured bacterium. Its description in RNAcentral is "partial 16S ribosomal RNA". It matches the Rfam family "Bacterial small subunit ribosomal RNA", at positions 524 to 776 of the family's 1533-position model. The record is from RNAcentral.